This 835-nucleotide ribosomal RNA is filed under the name Rothia sp. (in: high G+C Gram-positive bacteria). RNAcentral's name for it is "Rothia sp. (human oral metagenome) partial 23S ribosomal RNA". It matches the Rfam family "Bacterial large subunit ribosomal RNA", at positions 1477 to 2291 of the family's 2925-position model. Lineage: Bacteria; Bacillati; Actinomycetota; Actinomycetes; Micrococcales; Micrococcaceae. The record is from RNAcentral.
GCAGGUUAGGUUAUCGCACUGUUGGAUAUGUGCGUUUAAGUUGGUAGGUGAGAAGUUUAGGCAAAUCCGGACUUCUUUAACACCGAGAGAUGAUGACGAGGCUCUACGGAGCUGAAGUAACCGAUACCACACUUCCAGGAAAAGCCACUAAGCUUCAGGUUUAUCUAAACCGUACUGAAAACCGACACAGGUGGUCAGGUAGAGAAUACUCAGGCGCUUGAGAGAACUCGGGUGAAGGAACUAGGCAAAAUAGCACCGUAACUUCGGGAGAAGGUGCGCCGGCGUAGAUUGUAGUCCCUAGCGGGCGAAGGUUGAACCGGUCGAAGAUACCAGCUGGCUGCAACUGUUUAUUAAAAACACAGCACUCUGCAAACACGAAAGUGGACGUAUAGGGUGUGAUGCCUGCCCGGUGCUGGAAGGUUAAUUGAUGGUGUAAUCGAAAGAGAAGCUCCUGAUCGAAGCCCCAGUAAACGGCGGCCGUAACUAUAACGGUCCUAAGGUAGCGAAAUUCCUUGUCGGGUAAGUUCCGACCUGCACGAAUGGCAUAAUGAUGGCCAGGCUGUCUCCACCCGAGACUCAGUGAAAUUGAAAUCGCCGUGAAGAUGCGGUGUACCCGCGGCUAGACGGAAAGACCCCGUGAACCUUUACUAUAGCUUGACACUGAACAUUGAAUUUUGAUGUGUAGGAUAGGUGGGAGACUAUGAAGAUGAUACGCCAGUAUUGUUGGAGUCGACCUUGAAAUACCACCCUUUAACGUUUGAUGUUCUAACGAAGAUUACGAAACGUGGUCUCGGACAGUGUCUGGUGGGUAGUUUGACUGGGGCGGUCUCCUCCA